RNAcentral lists this ribosomal RNA (253 nucleotides) under uncultured bacterium. Its description in RNAcentral is "partial 16S ribosomal RNA". It matches the Rfam family "Bacterial small subunit ribosomal RNA", at positions 524 to 776 of the family's 1533-position model. The record is from RNAcentral.
UACGGAGGGUGCGAGCGUUGUCCGGAAUCACUGGGCGUAAAGGGUGCGUAGGCGGCUCAUGAAGGCUGUGGUGAAAGUCCGGGGCUCAACCUCGGAUCGGCCGUGGCGACUCGUGGGCUGGAGCACUGUAGAGGCGGGUGGAAUUCCGGGUGUAGCGGUGGAAUGCGUAGAGAUCCGGAAGAACACCAGUGGCGAAGGCGGCCCGCUGGGCAGUGGCUGACGCUGAAGCGCGACAGCGUGGGGAGCAAACAGG